UAAAAUUGAGUUGUUACGCGUAAAUGGUAGCUAACAAUGCAUAGUUUCGUAACAAUGGAUGAGCUCAACAACUUUGUUCUGGAAAACUGCUGGAAAACAUCCAAACAUAUUGUCCCAUCUCGUAAGAAGCAAUGUUAUAAAAUCAUAUAAAAACGCGUUUUUCUCGGCUUGCUGAAAAUGCAGGUGGGACUGACAUGCUAUGCGCGGCAGUAUAGCCCAGUUAGUGAACGCCCAGUGAAAAAGCAGCCCAGUUAAACAGCACCCAGUUAGCGAACAGUUACUGUAUUUCAGCGGAAUUUCAGUUAGGUGAACCGAGAUUGACGAAAAAAUGUCAUUAUUUUAACCGAGCAUUAUGUGGAGCCGUUCUCGGCAAUAAACUAUCGAGACUCGGCAGUUAAUUUUAAGUGUGCAGAAUGAAGAAAUUAAAUAAUCCUACAGAAGCUUCUAGACCAUACCACAAGCAGUAUUGUUUAAUUGUACAGUGAGCGUCUAGAUGAUUUCUCAGCCGACGAGCUUAAGAAGGUUGUACUGUGGGUUACUGUGAAACAACUGAAUUAUCGCUGGAAGAGAAAUAGCUUAUGCAGAAUCAAAUUGACCAACUCAUUCCACCGAAGAUCAAGAUAGAUAACAGAACUAUCAUAGUUCACCACGAGGUGGGUUUAUUUCUGGCAGAUGAUAAAGUUAACUCUAUCUUUGGAAACAAAUCAUCUCCAACUUACUACAUUUGGAAGGCAAAACCAAAGCAAAUGAAUGAACUGGAUUCGGUAAACCAGUGUGAGAAGAACAGCGAAGUUUUUCGGUUUGGACUCUCAACUUUACAUGCAUGGACACGAGUCUCGGAGUAUAUUCUGAUUUGUCAUACCGUCUUGACAUUGAAAAAUGGCAGAUUAGCGGAAAGGAUAGCAAAAGUAUGAAAAUAAGGAAAAGGCAAGUCCAGAAACGGUUCAAGAUCGACACAGUACUAAUUGUAGAUAAACCAAAUCCAGGAGGAACAGGGACAUCAAAUGAUGGAAAUACUGUUUGACGUUUUUUCACAACGCUUCUUAAACGACAUCAAUAUUUUGGCUGGACGUAAAAGCUUUGGAACGAUAUGGUUCAAUAUUGCAUAAAAUGUUGUUAGGUAUUCUGGAUCUAAAAUGAACACUCAGCGGUUUUCCGAAUAUUGUACAAAAAUUGCAGUAUGCCUAGUGCUUUUGUACUCGUGGUACUAUAUACUAGCUUUAGUGCAUAAUAUACUCAGUUAUGACAGCGAAGUCAUAAAACACUUCAAUGUUUCACUUUCCGAAGAGGCUCAGGAAUCUUGGAAUAAAGAACUAAAGCGAUA
This is a long non-coding RNA of Wyeomyia smithii (pitcher-plant mosquito), 1324 nucleotides long. RefSeq lists it as uncharacterized. NCBI's taxonomy places the organism in Eukaryota, Metazoa, Arthropoda, Insecta, Diptera, Culicidae. The record is from RefSeq and is a predicted model, not a curated record. The transcript is spliced from 4 exons.